AUCUAGCUGAAGAGUCCCAAAUAGGACGAAAUGUGAAUCCUGAAU
Molecule: non-coding RNA, 45 nt
Filed under: Trichobilharzia regenti
Lineage: Eukaryota; Metazoa; Platyhelminthes; Trematoda; Strigeidida; Schistosomatidae
Source: RNAcentral